Molecule: ribosomal RNA, 776 nt
Filed under: uncultured Neocallimastigales
Lineage: Eukaryota; Fungi; Neocallimastigomycota; Neocallimastigomycetes; Neocallimastigales
Description: partial large subunit ribosomal RNA
Rfam family: Eukaryotic large subunit ribosomal RNA
Source: RNAcentral
AGAGAGAGACAUGCGCGCAUAUCAAUAAGCGGAGGAAAAGAAACUAACUAGGAUUCCCCUAGUAACGGCGAGUGAAGCGGGAAGAGCUCAAAUUUGAAAUCUUAAAGGGUUUCCCUUUACGAAUUGUAGUUUAAAGAAGUGUUUUCUGUUGAGGUUUUGGUAAAAGUUCUUUGGAAUAGGACAUCAUAGAGGGUGAGAAUCCCGUAUUUGACCUUUACUUUCAACUUUGUGAUACACUUUCAAAGAGUCGGAUUGUUUGGGAAUGCAGUCCAAAAUGGGUGGUAAAUUUCAUCUAAAGCUAAAUAUUGGCGAGAGACCGAUAGCGAACAAGUACCGUGAGGGAAAGAUGAAAAGAACUUUGAAAAGAGAGUUAAACAGUACGUGAAAUUGUCAAAAGGGAAGCGUUUGACACCAGUGUUGUUUUUCUGAAAAUCAAUUAAAGAACUGUUUAUGCUAAGCUUGUUUAGACUUUAUCAGCUAACUGUUUAGUUUUGAGCUUUUCUUUAAUGCACUUUUCAGUUAACAAGUCAACAUCAAUUUCUUUUGCUGUAAAAAAGCUUGAGGAAGGUGGCUUGAGAUUCGUCUUAAGUGUUUAUAGCCUCUUGCCUAUGCAGUCGGAGAGAUUGAGGUCUGCAGCGUAGAUCCUUCGGGGCUAAAUGCAUUUGUGCUAAGUUAUAGCCUUUUCAUAGACAACUUGUUGACUAUGAUCUGUCAUGUAGCUUACUCGCUUAUGCUAUUUUACCUACGCUUAGGAUGUUGAGCGCAUGUCUCUCUCU